UGCCAGACUCCUACGGGAGGCAGCAGUGGGGAAUAUUGGUCAAUGGGCUUACGCCUGAACCAGCCAAGUCGCGUGAGGGAAGACUGCCCUAUGGGUUGUAAACCUCUUUUGUCAGGGAGCAAUUGGCGCUACGUGUAGCGUUAUCGAGAGUACCUGAAGAAAAAGCAUCGGCUAACUCCGUGCCAGCAGCCGCGGUAAUACGGAGGAUGCGAGCGUUAUCCGGAUUUAUUGGGUUUAAAGGGUGCGCAGGCGGCGUGUCAAGUCAGCGGUAAAAUGUCGGGGCUCAACCCCGGCCGGCCGUUGAAACUGGCGUGCUCGAGUUGGAGAGAAGUAUGCGGAAUUCGUGGUGUAGCGGUGAAAUGCAUAGAUAUCACGCAGAACUCCGAUUGCGAAGGCAGCAUACCGGCGCGCAACUGACGCUCAUGCACGAAAGCGUGGGUAUCGAACAGGAUUAGAUACCCUCGUAC
Molecule: ribosomal RNA, 467 nt
Filed under: uncultured bacterium
Lineage: Bacteria
Description: bacterial SSU rRNA
Rfam family: Bacterial small subunit ribosomal RNA
Source: RNAcentral